Molecule: long non-coding RNA, 361 nt
Organism: Tupaia belangeri chinensis (Chinese tree shrew)
Lineage: Eukaryota; Metazoa; Chordata; Mammalia; Scandentia; Tupaiidae
Exons: 3
Source: RefSeq, a predicted model, not a curated record
GACACCGCCCCCCGGGAGUCUGGCCUUGGCGCUUCCUCUGCCCCAGCGGACCGCGGUUCACAGCCUCGCCCAGCCCCGCAGGGAGAGCUCCGGGAGGCGCCCCUAGAAGGACAGGAGGAGAGGCGAGCCCCGAACUAGCUGGUCUGGGCGGCCGGGGAGGAAGCUGUUAAUGAGGGAACUUAAGCAGAUAUAGAAUGAAAAGGAGGUUUCAAAGGCAGAGGAAAAAGUCAAGUUGACUACUGAAAAAAAUACAUAAUUUAAAUUGCCAAAUACCUGAUUCCAUCACAGAGAUGAGGAUAAUGGCCCUUAGAAGUUCUAAACAUAUUGGAUCCAGCGGUUCUAAACAUACUGGUUUCAGCAA